Molecule: ribosomal RNA, 414 nt
Filed under: uncultured prokaryote
Description: bacterial SSU rRNA
Rfam family: Bacterial small subunit ribosomal RNA
Source: RNAcentral
UGGGGAAUUUUGGACAAUGGACGAAAGUCUGAUCCAGCGACGCCGCGUGAAGGACGAAGGUUUUCGGAUCGUAAACUUCUUUUGCAGGGGACGAAUAUGCGCAAGCAUUUGACGGUACUCUGCGAAUAAGCCACGGCUAACUACGUGCCAGCAGCCGCGGUAAUACGUAGGUGGCGAGCGUUACUCGGAAUUACUAGGCGUAAAGCGCGUGUAGGCGGGAGCUUAAGUCCGCUGUUAAAUCUCACAGCCCAACUGUGAAAUGCCGGCGGAUACUGGGUUUCUUGAAUUCGGUAGAGGUAACUGGAAUUCCAGGUGUAGCGGUGAAAUGCGUAGAUAUCUGGAAGAACGCCAAAGGCGAAAGCAGGUUACUGGGCCGCAAUUGACGCUGAGACGCGAAAGCUAGGGGAGCAAACA